AUACGGAGGAUCCGAGCGUUAUCCGGAUUUAUUGGGUUUAAAGGGUGCGCAGGCGGCCAUUUAAGUCAGCGGUUAAAUCGUGGGGCUCAACCCCAUUCUGCCGUUGAUACUGGGUGGCUUGAUUGCGGUCGAGGUUGGCGGAAUUCGUUGUGUAGCGGUGAAAUGCGUAGAUAUGCCACAGAACGCCGAUAGCGGAGGCAGCUCGCCAGGCCUGCAGUGACGCCCGGGCACGAAAGCGUGGGGAUCGAACAGGAUUAGAUCCCCUGGUAGGCCACGCCGUAAACGAUGGGCGCUCGUCGUCGGCGGCAGACAGUCGGCGGCCAAGCGAAAGCGAUAAGCGCCCCACCUGGGGAGUACGGUCGCAAGG
Molecule: ribosomal RNA, 367 nt
Filed under: uncultured bacterium
Lineage: Bacteria
Description: partial 16S ribosomal RNA
Rfam family: Bacterial small subunit ribosomal RNA
Source: RNAcentral